Long non-coding RNA from Ipomoea triloba (trilobed morning glory), 532 nucleotides. RefSeq lists it as uncharacterized. The record is from RefSeq and is a predicted model, not a curated record. NCBI's taxonomy places the organism in Eukaryota, Viridiplantae, Streptophyta, Magnoliopsida, Solanales, Convolvulaceae. The transcript has 2 exons.
GUUGUUUUUUAUUUUUAUUUUUUUAUAUUUUUAUUCCACAGUAGGGUUGGGUUUCACAACUGGGUUUCCCUUCGGAAAUAUCUCACCGUUUCACCAUCUCUCUUCAGCCGUGAUUGCCAUCCACCUCCUCCAUAUGCACGUUCAGCCGGUUGAUGCUCCAUCUGUCUCCGUUGUCAUCGUCGCUGCAAUGUUCGACCGCCCCUUGUUGUAGUCUCGUCGCCGAUUUGAUGAAGCCGGCCACCCGGUUCGAGGGGUCACCGACUGGUGGUUUGGUGGGGGAUAGGGUUCCGGACUCCAAAAGGUUCUCUGUUAUUUCCAGUUGCUGGUGUGGUCAUUGCAGUGUGCAUUUGGGGGUAUUCAUUUGUAUAUUUUUUGAGUGUAUAUGCUGCGUUAUUAAUCAAGGUUUGUGUGUUUCAACUGUGUAAUAGAGAGCGAACUAUUGUGCAACUGGGGCACUCUACUGUAUUCCUUAUUUCAACAACAUUAUUGGUUCACAUAUUUUAAGGAAAAGCCAAUGUUCAUGGAUUGAAAA